Molecule: ribosomal RNA, 497 nt
Filed under: uncultured bacterium
Lineage: Bacteria
Description: partial 16S ribosomal RNA
Rfam family: Bacterial small subunit ribosomal RNA
Source: RNAcentral
GAUGAACGCUGGCGGCGUGCCUAAUACAUGCAAGUCGAGCGAACAGACGAGGAGCUUGCUCCUCUGACGUUAGCGGCGGACGGGUGAGUAACACGUGGAUAACCUACCUAUAAGACUGGGAUAACUUCGGGAAACCGGAGCUAAUACCGGAUAAUAUAUUGAACCGCAUGGAUCAAUAGUGAAAGACGGUUUUGCUGUCACAUAUAGAUGGAUCCGCGCCGCAUUAGCAAGUUGGCAAGUUAAAGGCUUACCAAGGCGACGAGGCGUAGCCGAACUGAGAGGGUGUCCAGCCACACUUGAGCUGGAGCACCGUCCGGACUCCUACGGGGGUCCCCCUUAGCCACUCCUCCGCUAUGCGCCUUAGCCUGACCGCGCGACCCCGCGUCAGUCAUCAUGGUCUUCGCAUCGUACGGCUCUUUUAUUAGCAAAGCACAAUUGUGUGCGUAACUGUGCUCGUCUUGACGGUCCCUAGCCAUAAAGCCCCGGCUAACUUCGUG